UACGAAGGGGGUUAGCGUUGCACGGAAUCACUGGGCGUAAAGCGCACGUAGGCGGAUUGCUAAGACAGGGGUGAAAUCCUGGAGCUCAACUCCAGAACUGCCUUUGAUACUGGCGACCUUGAGUCCGGGAGAGGUGAGUGGAACUGCGAGUGUAGAGGUGAAAUUCGUAGAUAUUCGCAAGAACACCAGUGGCGAAGGCGGCUCACUGGCCCGGUACUGACGCUGAGGUGCGAAAGCGUGGGGAGCAAACAGG
Molecule: ribosomal RNA, 253 nt
Filed under: uncultured bacterium
Lineage: Bacteria
Description: partial 16S ribosomal RNA
Rfam family: Bacterial small subunit ribosomal RNA
Source: RNAcentral